This 465-nucleotide ribosomal RNA is filed under the name Vreelandella stevensii. RNAcentral's name for it is "partial 16S ribosomal RNA". It matches the Rfam family "Bacterial small subunit ribosomal RNA", at positions 338 to 795 of the family's 1533-position model. Lineage: Bacteria; Pseudomonadati; Pseudomonadota; Gammaproteobacteria; Oceanospirillales; Halomonadaceae. The record is from RNAcentral.
CCUACGGGUGGCAGCAGUGGGGAAUAUUGGACAAUGGGGGCAACCCUGAUCCAGCCAUGCCGCGUGUGUGAAGAAGGCCCUCGGGUUGUAAAGCACUUUCAGUGAGGAAGAACGCCUGGUGGUUAAUACCCAUCAGGAAAGACAUCACUCACAGAAGAAGCACCGGCUAACUCCGUGCCAGCAGCCGCGGUAAUACGGAGGGUGCGAGCGUUAAUCGGAAUUACUGGGCGUAAAGCGCGCGUAGGUGGCUUGAUAAGCCGGUUGUGAAAGCCCCGGGCUCAACCUGGGAACGGCAUCCGGAACUGUCAAGCUAGAGUGCAGGAGAGGAAGGUAGAAUUCCCGGUGUAGCGGUGAAAUGCGUAGAGAUCGGGAGGAAUACCAGUGGCGAAGGCGGCCUUCUGGACUGACACUGACACUGAGGUGCGAAAGCGUGGGGAGCAAACAGGAUUAGAUACCCCAGUAGUC